This 253-nucleotide ribosomal RNA is filed under the name uncultured bacterium. Its description in RNAcentral is "partial 16S ribosomal RNA". It matches the Rfam family "Bacterial small subunit ribosomal RNA", at positions 524 to 776 of the family's 1533-position model. The record is from RNAcentral.
UACAGAGGGUGCGAACGUUGUUCGGAUUUACUGGGCGUAAAGCGCGUGUAGGCGGUCUCGCAAGUCGGAUGUGAAAGCCCAGGGCUCAACCCUGGAAGUGCACUCGAUACUGCGAGGCUAGAGUCCCGGAGAGGAUGGUGGAACUCUCGGUGUAGAGGUGAAAUUCGUAGAUAUCGAGAAGAACACCGGUGGCGAAGGCGGCCAUCUGGACGGUGACUGACGCUGAGACGCGAAAGCGUGGGGAGCAAACAGG